UAAGUAUUGUUAAUAAUAACAAUUGUGAAAGUACUUUAUAUCUGUAAACUAUCAUGCAGCCAGGAGUGUUAUGUCUUUGUUAGAUUCCUAUGCUGAAAUAGAAGCUGAAUAUUCUAGAUGAGGUUGGAACUUUCUAGAACUGGCCAAUUGUGGGCCACAUGAUGGAAACCCAGCAGAAGCAAGUUCUAUUGUAACAUUGUUAACAGUGAGAUGGCCCAUAGGAUAAUAAAAAUAUCAACAAAUUAUGUUCUGAUGCCUGUUGGCUCUGAGCCCUGUGUUAGAUGCUCUAUAGAGUCACCUCAUGCAGAGUUCAUAACAGGCUGACAAGGUAGAGAUUCUCUUUCUGUUGGUAAGAAACUGAAGAUCCCAGUUUUGCUAUCUAAUUUUGGUAUAAUUAAACUCGGCCAGCUAAAAAUUAUAUGAUUAAUUAUAUUUAGUGUUCAUUACACUUGCUAAUUUAGCACGAUGGGCACAUUGUAGGGCGGGGUGAUGGAUGGCGCUUGCCAGCCUUCCUGUGUGACCUUCCUUUUGUCAUUCUUCUCACAGUAGUGUCUCAGGUGGUUCUAUCCGUUGUCUUGGCUGGUUUUGGCUUGCUGUUCCACUCCCCAUUUCCCUUGUUCACUCUUUGCUGCCCUCCUGUGUGCCUGAGAGGCUCACCCUGUGGACUGAGUGACCCAGGAUCUCUUCCUGGCAUCCACAUGGUAUAGCUAAGGGGACACUCUGGCCAGAAGUGGGUAAAUAGGAGCAAAGAAUGGCAGAGUGUUUUUCCCUACACCUCUCCUGCCCUGGUGCCGAUUUGGCAAUGUGUCUCUCUGCAACUCCAGCUGCUGCUGGGCAGCUUCUAUUCCAAACCUCCAGCUGGUGCUUGUUUUUGAUGCAGCAACAUCCCUGAUACAGCUCCUUAAUGGAGACCUCAACAAGUAGGGCUUUCAUUCAGAUCUCUUCAUUUGAACCACCUAGAACAAAUUUGGUUUCUUCCUGAGUGAUACACUUGAUACAUAUUAAAAGUCUUCUAUAUGCUUUGGCAUUAAGGGAUUACUAAGCCCUAUUGAAAGUGUUGGGGUUAACAGUGUGGGUAACUGCUCUUUCCUGUGCCACAAAACCCAAGAAAUAUCAUCACUCUUUACAUCUAUUUUCUUGGAAGAAAAAGGAGGAAGGGGUUGAUUAAGUCUAUUUUGAAUAAGCAAAAGAAUAGAUGUAUUUAGAGUUAAAAAAAAUCUGAGCUGUAUGUCUUUCAGUCUCAA
This 1244-nucleotide long non-coding RNA is filed under the name Marmota monax (woodchuck). Lineage: Eukaryota; Metazoa; Chordata; Mammalia; Rodentia; Sciuridae. The record is from RNAcentral.